Molecule: non-coding RNA, 1457 nt
Organism: Physcomitrium patens
Lineage: Eukaryota; Viridiplantae; Streptophyta; Bryopsida; Funariales; Funariaceae
Source: RefSeq, a predicted model, not a curated record
GAUUGGAUCGUUUCGGAUCAAGGUUGUCUACUUUAGGAGCUCCGUGGUUUCGAUUGCGUUGACGUUUGGUGAAGCUCACGGGGUGCUUCAGACCCUCCGGUAUGAUUCGAAGACAAUCAAUUACCCCAUCUUUCAUGUGACCUUUGCUGCCGCUAGGGUUUUCGUUCUACGGAUGAGCUGAAUUGCGCACGAUACGGACGUGGUUUUGAAAAGGACUAGGACCUGCGGCGGGGUUGCGAGAAAUGUGUGUGUAUAUGCUGAAGCUCUCGGAGAUGUCUUAGACGAUCGGACAGCAGACCAGGAAGAGUAUCAUAUUGCCCCUCCCCGCAUCUAGUUAGUGGGGUGGCUCAUGUUGUGGAAAAGAAUAGGGGAUUGUGGCGAACGAAGUAGGUCUAUUGGACAGGAAAUAUGGUAGUGGAGGCAGCAGAGGAUCGAGGGGGUGGAAGGAUGAGGUCCGGUGCUCCGCUGCAGAUCAAGCUUGUACUAUUGGGCGACGGGCGUGUAGGAAAGACGUCUCUUACUCUGCGAUAUGUUAACAAUAUAUUCUCUGAGAAGCAAACGGCUACGAUUCAGGCCUCUUAUUUGACAAAGCGCCUCGUUGUAGAUGGGCAAGCUGUCAAUCUUUGCAUUUGGGACACAGCUGGUCAGGAGCGAUUCCAUGCACUUGGUCCUAUCUACUACCGUGAUGCUGAUGCGGCGCUGUUGGUGUACGACUUGCUGGACAAAGACAGUUUCGAUCGCGUUCAAAGCUGGGUGCGAGAGCUGAAAAAAAUGGCUUCUAAAAAGAUCGUAUUGGCCAUCGCUGGAAACAAAAGUGACAUGGAUAAGUUGCGCCAGGUGAACAUGGAAGAUUCCGUGAAGUACGCGGAGUUAAUAGGGGCAAAACAUUUUGUGACCUCUGCCAAACUUAACACUGGAAUUGAGGAGGCUUUUAUGGACAUAGCUCGUCGCGUUACACAACAAAGAUUGGCUGAGGACCCCGAGAGUCUUGCUGGUGGUUCGCGACGAAAGAGCGUGGUUAUCAUUGACAAGCUACCUCAAGAAACAACCUCACCCACUUCUAGAUGCUGCUCUUGAUUGUCGACCUGUAAAUAAUUUAGGUUUUCACGUUUUUACCUGGCCAUUGUGUUGCAAUCUUUUUGUAUGCAGUCACAUUCUUUACCAUCACUUUGACGAUGGCAUAGUGCUCUGAUGUCUUAUUGAUCAGAAAGUUUUUGACAUUAUCCCAUUUCGCUACAUGCAGGCCACUGCACUUAUUCAUGAGAUAUGGGUUUUCAAGGUCAGUGCAUUCAUAAGCAUAUGUAACUACCUUUGAAAGCCGUUGACUUUAUUGAGUGAUAUCCCUGUGCCAAGGGCUUGGAGAAAGACAUAAGAAUUACAAAUUGGCGAUUCUCCGCUCUCUUUGUAUUUGAUUUUGCUCCCGUAAAUUACAUAUUGCCAAACAGUUUCUUGAAUCA